CACAUCGCAAGUCGAACGAGACCUUCGGGUCUAGUGGCUGCACGGGUGCAGUAACGCGUGGGAAUCUGCCCUUGGGUUCGGGAUAACAGUUGGAAACGACUGCUAAUACCGGAUGAUCGGCUUCGGACCAAAGAUUUAUCGCCCCAGGGCAUUGGAGCCCGCCGUCGGAUAUAGUCAUAGUAUCGGUAGAGGUAAAGGCUCACCAAGGCGACGAUCCGUAGCUUGGUCUGAGAGGAUGAUCAGCCACACUGGGACUGAGACACGGCCCAGACUCCUACGGGUAGGCAGCAGGUGGGGAAUAUUGGACAAUGGGCGAAAGCCUGAUCCAGCAAUGCCGCGUGAGUGAUGAAGGCCUUAGGGUCUGUAAAGCUCUUUUACCCCGGCAUGAUAAUGACAGUACCGGGAGAAUAAGCCCCGGCUAACUCCGUCGCCAGCAGCCCGCGGUCAAUACGGAGGGGGCUAGCGAUGUUUNGAANUNCCNGGGCCUAAAGCGCACGUAGGCCGGGGAGAAUAAGCCCCGGCUAACUCCGUGCCAGCAGCCGCGGUAAUACGGAGGGGGCUAGCGUUGNNUCGGAAUUACUGGGCGUAAAGCGCACGUAGGCGGCUUUGUAAGUUAGAGUCGAAAGCCCG
Molecule: ribosomal RNA, 630 nt
Filed under: uncultured bacterium
Lineage: Bacteria
Description: bacterial SSU rRNA
Rfam family: Bacterial small subunit ribosomal RNA
Source: RNAcentral